UAGCUGGUGUCAAACUCCACAAGCAAGUUGCUCGCCUGGACAAGAGCAGUCCGAGCUAAGCCAGAAGUGUCCUGUAGGGUUAAGUGAGCCCAGCGCAGACCAGCAGCCCUGGACCUUUGUUUUGGGAAGGACACCUUGUUCCUGGUGCUGCCCGUCAGCUCCCGGGGCACCCAGGUCCUGGAAUCGUGAGAACUUCCAAUGGUUUGGCAAAGYGCUCUGAAUCACUGACGUUCGGCUGCCACCUCCACCCAUGCCUGUCCCUUGCCUGCUCCCUCGCCGGGUGUCAGUUCUCGAGCCUACGUGCUGAGAAGAAAAGUUAAAAAGUUCCACCUCAGAGGGAAAAGCAGCCGAGGGUUUGAGACCCAUCUCUGUGACGUGUCCCGAGGGACCCCACCAAUAUCCAGCUCCAACAAGGCAGACCCACAAAGCCAGAAGACCCGUUAGGACCCGGAGAYGUUUGCACCGGAGCAAAGAGGUUCCUGAGCCUCUUUGGCCGUGCCCCAGCCAUCGGGGAGAGCAGCACAGGCACGGAAUUUCAGAUUGGCCCUUUCUGGAGCUUCACCUUGUGGCCGUGACAAGGGACACGAGUCUUGGUCUUGAUGCAGCUGCAGACUCUGAGGUUGGAUCCCGAGCUCCACCAAGGGCACGUGCAGCCGACCAGGGGAACCCUCCCCUUUAUUCCCA
Molecule: long non-coding RNA, 684 nt
Organism: Nothoprocta perdicaria
Lineage: Eukaryota; Metazoa; Chordata; Aves; Tinamiformes; Tinamidae
Exons: 4
Source: RefSeq, a predicted model, not a curated record